Molecule: long non-coding RNA, 2298 nt
Organism: Rattus norvegicus (Norway rat)
Lineage: Eukaryota; Metazoa; Chordata; Mammalia; Rodentia; Muridae
Source: RefSeq, a predicted model, not a curated record
CUGCCGCACCGCACUCGCAGCCAAUGGCGUGAGAGCAUGCAAAUCGUCGUUGAGCCAACGCUUCCUUUGGCUCUGGUGUAUGCAAAUAGACGUCAUUGCCCGGGUGGGGGUGGCCUGGCCCGGGUAGAAGGUGGGUGGGGGUGUGUGGAAACUUGUAGCGCGGCUGGUUUGGAGACUUGGCAUCUAAAUCUGUUCCAGCCAGUCCCGAGGGGCACGGAGUGCGACUAAAGGAAGGGAGAAAGAAAAGAGAGAUAGCGAGGUUCAAAAAGCUGAACCACGCUUCCCAGAAUGCUCAGGUCAAACCCCAGUGAGAAGAUGCCACGAAGAAGGAAACAGCCAACUCAGGAGUCCUGGGAUAUCUGAAAUCGAUAAGAAGGAUAGAGGUGAGUAUAGAGGUUUGCAGAAGUACCUCAGGAAACUGGGGUGGGGGGGAGAUGAAGGGCAGAAAAUGCCCAUGAUCUGCUAUAUGCAAACAGGAGGCCCAGGGAAGGUCGACUUGCAUCUCAAUGUGAGUCUGAAGGACCAGGAACCCCAUAUGGAGUGAAUGCUCAGUUCAAGAUGAGAGUGAACUCCAGUUCCCCUCAGGCUUUUGCUCUGUCCAGGCUCUUUGUGGAUCAAUGGGACAUUUAACUGCAGGUUGUUAUUUAGAGAGAGAUACAACGUGUCCUUCUAUGGAAACAGUGUUUUGCUUUUGCUUUUGAAACAAAAUAUCACUAUGUACCCUGCCUGACCUGGAACUCACUCUGUAGACCAGGCUAGCCUGGGAUUCACAGAGAUCUAUCUCCCUCUGCUCCUGGGUGCUAGGAUUAAAGGUGUACACUACUAUGUCCAGCAUGAAUCAUCUUUUUUUUUUUUUUUUUGGAGCUGGGGACCGAACCCAGGGCCUUGUGCUUCCUAGGUAAGCGCUCUACCACUGAGCUAAAUCCCCACCCCCAUGAAUCAUCUUUUAAACAGAGGGGGAAGAUUCCAAACUGAAGAAACAGUACCUGGGAAAGACAGAACUGGGCCAGAGCAUGGCUCCUUAAAGCAACAGAAUAAGAUACAGGCUUCGAGGGCCUAGAGAGAUGGCUCAGUGGUUAAGAGAACUGACUGCUCUUCCAGAGGUCCUGAGUUCAAACCCAAGCUUGUGACUUACAACCAUCUGUAAUGAGAUCUGAUGCCCUUUUCUGAUGCAUCUGAAGACAGCUGUGGUGUACAUAUAUAGAGUAAGUUAAAGAGAGAGAGAGAGAGAGAGAGAGAGAGAGAGAGAACUGUGACCCCAAGAAGCUGUCACAUGCUAAGAAGAAACAAGGCAGGGUUCACAUUCGGGGCUCUGUGGCCUCACAGGCACACCGAGGCCAGCACACUGUGGCCACAGGGUUCACAUGCUGCCCCUGUGGCCUCGCAGGCACAUUGUGGCUGCUGUUGCCUCCCAGAGAGGAAGCUGAAGUGGUUUUUUUCUGACUUCCAUGUCUUACUACAGAGAUGGGGCCAGAAAAUAAAUAAUUGUAAUUUUUGCUUAAUAGAUUUCAACAUGUUAUAAAAAGCAAGACCUUGGACUGGAGAGAUGGCUUAGGGGUUAAGAGCAUGGACUGCUCUUCCAGAGGUCCUGAGUUCAAUUUCCAGCAACCACAUGGUGGCUCACAUCCAUUUGUAAUGGGAUCUGAUGUCCUCUUCUGGUGUGUCUGAAGACAGUGACAGUGUGCUCACAUAUAUAAAAUAAAAAAUAAAAAAAAAAAAGCAAGACCUAUGGCUGGCUGGAGAGAUGGCUCAGUCAUAAGAGUGGGCUAUUCUUCCAGAGGACCCAGGUUCAACUCCUAGUGCCUACAUAGCAGCUCACAACUGUGUACACAUCCAAACCCAAGGGAUUUGACAGCCUCUCCUUGCCUCUGCAUAAGUUGCAUGCACACACAUUCAGGCUGUCUUGGGGUUUCUAUUGCUGUGACAAAACACUGUGAACAAAAGCCACUUGAGGAGGAACCCGGAGGGAAGACCUGAUGCAGAGACCAUGAAGAAGUUCUGCUUACUGGCUGCUCCUUACAGCUUGCUUGGCAUGCUUUUUUUUUUUUUUAUAACACCCAGGACCACCAGCCCAAGGAUGGUCACAAAACACUGGCCUCCCAAAUCAGUCACUAAUUAAGGACAUUGGCCACAAGCUUGACUAUAGACCAAUCUGGUGGGGGUCUUUUCUCAGUUGAGGUUUCUUCUUCCAAAAUGACUCUAGCCUGUGCCAGAUUGACAUAAAAACUAGCCACCACCUCAGGCAAAACUCUCUCUCUCUCUCUCUCUCUCUCUCUCUCUCUCUCUCUCUCUCUCACA